UCAAUGAAACUGAAAGUUUUCUGUGUUCGUACAGAAAAUGAACUGAUUGAUCUUCUGUAAUGCUAUUAUGAGGAUCACCCUUUGAGGUUUAUAGCAAUAGGUCGCCCUAUGAUCAGUUACAUGCUUUUGUUGA
This 133-nucleotide non-coding RNA is filed under the name unclassified sequences. RNAcentral describes it as "Staphylococcus-1 RNA". It matches the Rfam family "Staphylococcus-1 RNA". Rfam says of the family: Firmicute (1 example). Nearby to self-splicing intron genes The record is from Rfam by way of RNAcentral.